CCUACGGGAGGCAGCAGUGAGGAAUAUUGGGCAAUGGACGAGAGUCUGAACCAGCCAAGUAGCGUGAAGGAGGACUGCCCUAUGGGUUGUAAACUUAUGUUAUAGGGGAAUAAAAUGUGCCACGUGUGGGAGUUUGUAUGUACCAUAUGAAUAAGGAUCGGCUAACUCCGUGCCAGCAGCCGCGGUAAUACGGAGGAUCCGAGCGUUAUCCGGAUUUAUUGGGUUUAAAGGGAGCGUAGGUGGAUUGUGAAGUCAGUUGGGAAAGUUUGCGGCUCAACCGUAAAAUUGCAGUUGAAACUGGCAGUCUUGAGUACAGUAGAGUUGGGCGUACUUCGUGUUGUAGCGG
This 346-nucleotide ribosomal RNA is filed under the name uncultured bacterium. RNAcentral describes it as "partial 16S ribosomal RNA". It matches the Rfam family "Bacterial small subunit ribosomal RNA", at positions 338 to 681 of the family's 1533-position model. The record is from RNAcentral.